This 467-nucleotide long non-coding RNA is filed under the name Mytilus galloprovincialis (Mediterranean mussel). Lineage: Eukaryota; Metazoa; Mollusca; Bivalvia; Mytilida; Mytilidae. The record is from RNAcentral.
ACUCCUAAAGGGGUCAACUGACCAUUUCAGUCACGUUGACUUAUUUGUAAAUCUUACUUUGCUGAACAUUAUUGCUGUUUACAGUUUAUCUCUAUCUAUAAUAAUAUUCAAGAUAAUAACCAAAAACAGUAAAAUUUCCUUAAAAUUAUCAUUUUAGGGGAAGCAACCCAACAACUGGUUGUCCGAUUCAUCUGAAAAUUUCAGGGCAGAUAGAUCUUGACCUGAUAAACAAUUUAACCCAUUGUCAGAUUUGCUCUAAAUGCUUUGGUUUUUGAGUUAUAAGCCAAAAACUGCAUUUUAUCCCUUUGUUCUAUUUUUAGCCAUGGCGGCCAUCUUGGUUGGUUGGCCGGGUCACCGGACACAUUUUUUAAACUAAAUACCCAAAUGAUGAUUGUGGCCAAGUUUGGUUUAAUUUGGCCCAGCAGUUUCAGGGGAGAAGAUUUUUGUAAAAGUUAACGAUGACGGAC